This 1399-nucleotide ribosomal RNA is filed under the name uncultured bacterium. RNAcentral describes it as "16S ribosomal RNA". It matches the Rfam family "Bacterial small subunit ribosomal RNA". The record is from RNAcentral.
AGAGUUUGAUCCUGGCUCAGGAUGAACGCUAGCGACAGGCUUAACACAUGCAAGUCGAGGGGCAGCAUGAAAGGUAGCAAUACUUUUUGAUGGCGACCGGCGCACGGGUGAGUAACACGUAUGCAACCUGCCCAUUGCAGGGGGAUAAGCGGAAGAAAUUCCGUCUAAUACCGCGUAAUAUCCUAAAGGGGCAUCCCAUUAGGAUUAAAGAAAUUCGGCAAUGGAUGGGCAUGCGGCGCAUUAGCUAGUUGGGGGGGUAACGGCCCACCAAGGCGACGAUGCGUAGGGGUUCUGAGAGGAAGGUCCCCCACACUGGUACUGAGACACGGAUCAGACUCCUACGGGAGGCAGCAGUGAGGAAUAUUGGUCAAUGGGCGAGAGCCUGAACCAGCCAAGUCGCGUGAGGGAAGACUGCCCUAAGGGUUGUAAACCUCUUUUGUCUGGGAGCAACGGUCUUACGCGUAAGACUCUGAGAGUACCAGAAGAAAAAGCAUCGGCUAACUCCGUGCCAGCAGCCGCGGUAAUACGGAGGAUGCGAGCGUUAUCCGGAUUUAUUGGGUUUAAAGGGUGCGUAGGUGGAAUGUUAAGUCAGUGGUUAAACUGCGGGGCUCAACCCCGUAUCGCCAUUGAAACUGGCGUUCUAGAGUGGGCGAGAAGUAUGCGGAAUGCGUGGUGUAGCGGUGAAAUGCAUAGAUAUCACGCAGAACUCCGAUUGCGAAGGCAGCAUACCGGUGCUCAACUGACGCUGAGGCACGAAAGCGUGGGGAUCAAACAGGAUUAGAUACCCUGGUAGUCCACGCAGUAAACGAUGAAUACUACCUGUUUGGGUCGCGUAAGACUUGAGCGGGACAGCGAAAGCGUUAAGUAUUCCACCUGGGGAGUACGCCGGCAACGGUGAAACUCAAAGGAAUUGACGGGGGCCCGCACAAGCGGAGGAACAUGUGGUUUAAUUCGAUGAUACGCGAGGAACCUUACCCGGGCUCAAACGUAACAGGGAUAAUUUGGAAACAGAUUAGUCAGCAAUGACCUGUUACGAGGUGCUGCAUGGUUGUCGUCAGCUCGUGCCGUGAGGUGUCGGCUUAAGUGCCAUAACGAGCGCAACCCCUAUCGAUAGUUGCUAACGAGUUAAGUUGAGGACUCUAUCGAGACUGCCGGCGCAAGCUGUGAGGAAGGCGGGGAUGACGUCAAAUCAGCACGGCCCUUACGUCCGGGGCGACACACGUGUUACAAUGGCGGGGACAGCGGGAAGCCACCUGGCGACAGGGCGCGGAACCCGAAACCCCGUCUCAGUUCGGAUUGGAGUCUGCAACUCGACUCCAUGAAGCUGGAUUCGCUAGUAAUCGCGCAUCAGCCAUGGCGCGGUGAAUACGUUCCCGGGCCUUGCACACACCGCCCGUCA